AUUUAAUAUUUAGGUAAAGGUACAAAGAUUUAUAUUUCUUUGUUUAAAAGGGAAACAAGUAAAAGUCUUGUACGGUCCCGCCACUGUGAAGGUGAGAAUUUUAAAAUAUGCCACUGAGAAAUUGGGAAGGCUUAAAAUUCUAUGAACCUAAGUCAGGAUACCUGCCUUUGCUAAUGCACUAAA
RNAcentral lists this non-coding RNA (183 nucleotides) under Sporanaerobacter sp. PP17-6a. The record is from RNAcentral. Lineage: Bacteria; Bacillati; Bacillota; Tissierellia; Tissierellales; Sporanaerobacteraceae. RNAcentral also lists the same sequence under 1 other name.